AUUGAACGCUGGCGGCAGGCCUAACACAUGCAAGUCGAGCGGAUGACGGGAGCUUGCUCCUUGAUUCAGCGGCGGACGGGUGAGUAAUGCCUAGGAAUCUGCCUGGUAGUGGGGGACAACGUUUCGAAAGGAACGCUAAUACCGCAUACGUCCUACGGGCGAAAGCAGGGGACCUUCGGGCCUUGCGCUAUCAGAUACGCCUCGGUCGGAUUAGCUAGUUGGUGGGGUAAUGGCUCACCAAGGCGACGAUCCGUAACUGGUCUGAGAGGAUGAGCAGUCACACUGGAACUGAGACACGGUCCAGACUCCUACGGGAGGCAGCAGUGGGGAAUAUUGGACAAUGGGCGAAAGCCUGAUCCAGCCAUGCCGCGUGUGUGAAGAAGGUCUUCGGAUUGUAAAGCACUUUAAGUUGGGAGGAAGGGCAGUAAGUUAAUACCUUGCUGUUUUGACGUUACCGGCAGAAUAAGCACCGGCUAACUCUGUGCCAGCCGCCGCCGUAA
RNAcentral lists this ribosomal RNA (500 nucleotides) under uncultured bacterium. RNAcentral describes it as "partial 16S ribosomal RNA". It matches the Rfam family "Bacterial small subunit ribosomal RNA", at positions 30 to 523 of the family's 1533-position model. The record is from RNAcentral.